RNAcentral lists this ribosomal RNA (856 nucleotides) under uncultured bacterium. RNAcentral describes it as "bacterial SSU rRNA". It matches the Rfam family "Bacterial small subunit ribosomal RNA", at positions 58 to 869 of the family's 1533-position model. The record is from RNAcentral.
CAAGUCGAACGAGGUGGCCCACAGAAUUUGAUAGAAACUUUGAGAGCUUGCUCUAGAAGUGGAAAGAGAAGGACGUGGAAUUUCCACCUAGUGGCAAACGGGUGAGUAACACGUGGGUUACCUACCUCUUAGAUGGGGAUACCAAUUGGAAACGAUUGUUAAUACCGAAUGUGAUCUACGGAUUAAAGGAAGCCUUUAAAGCUUCGCUAAGAGAUGGGCCUGCGGUGCAUUAGAUAGUUGGUGGGGUAAGAGCCUACCAAGUCAACGAUGCAUAGCUGAACUGAGAGGAUGAUCGGCCACACUGGGACUGAGACACGGCCCAGACUCCUACGGGAGACAGCAGUUAGGAAUAUUCGUCAAUGGGGGAAACCCUGAACGAGCAAUGCCGCGUGAACGAUGACGGUCCUCUGGAUUGUAAAGUUCUGUUGUUUGGGAAGAACGGCUCUAAUAGGAAAUGAUUAGAGAUUGACUGUACCAUUCAAGAAAGCCACGGCUAACUACGUGCCAGCAGCCGCGGUAAUACGUAGGUGGCGAGCGUUAUCCGGAUUUAUUGGGCGUAAAGCGUCCGCAGCCGGUUUAUUAAGUAUAGAAUAAAACUUCGGGGCUCAACCCCGUCUCGUUCUAUAAACUGAUAGACUAGAGUGUGGUAGAGGCAAGUGGAAUUUCUAGUGUAGCGGUAGAAUGCGUAGAUAUUAGAAGGAACACCAGUGGCGAAGGCGACUUGCUGGGCCAUCACUGACGGUCAGGGACGAAAGCGUGGGGAGCGAAUAGGAUUAGAUACCCUAGUAGUCCACGCCGUAAACGAUGAGCACUAAGUGUCGGGCAACCGGUGCUGAAGUUAACACAUUAAGUGCUC